GUGGGGAAUAUUGCACAAUGGGCGCAAGCCUGAUGCAGCAACGCCGCGUGAGGGAUGACGGCCUUCGGGUUGUAAACCUCUUUUAGUAGGGAAGAAGCGAAAGUGACGGUACCUGCAGAAAAAGCACCGGCUAACUACGUGCCAGCAGCCGCGGUAAUACGUAGGGUGCAAGCGUUGUCCGGAAUUAUUGGGCGUAAAGAGCUCGUAGGCGGCUUGUCGCGUCUGCUGUGAAAUCCCGGGGCUCAACCCCGGGCCUGCAGUGGGUACGGGCAGGCUAGAGUGCGGUAGGGGAGAUUGGAAUUCCUGGUGUAGCGGUGGAAUGCGCAGAUAUCAGGAGGAACACCGAUGACGAAGGCAGAUCUCUGGGCCGCUACUGACGCUGAGGAGCGAAAGCAUGGGGAGCGAACAGGAUUAGAAACCCUAGUAGUCC
This 430-nucleotide ribosomal RNA is filed under the name uncultured bacterium. RNAcentral's name for it is "partial 16S ribosomal RNA". It matches the Rfam family "Bacterial small subunit ribosomal RNA", at positions 354 to 796 of the family's 1533-position model. The record is from RNAcentral.